RNAcentral lists this ribosomal RNA (464 nucleotides) under uncultured bacterium. Its description in RNAcentral is "partial 16S ribosomal RNA". It matches the Rfam family "Bacterial small subunit ribosomal RNA", at positions 28 to 507 of the family's 1533-position model. The record is from RNAcentral.
GACGAACGCUGGCGGCGUGCUUAACACAUGCAAGUCGAACGGAAAGGCCCUGCUUGCAGGGUACUCGAGUGGCGAACGGGUGAGUAACACGUGGGUGAUCUGCCCUGCACUUCGGGAUAAGCCUGGGAAACUGGGUCUAAUACCGGAUAGGAGCCAUUUUUAGUGUGAUGGUUGGAAAGUUUUUUCGGUGUAGGAUGAGCUCGCGGCCUAUCAGCUUGUUGGUGGGGUAAUGGCCUACCAAGGCGGCGACGGGUAGUGGCCUGAGAGGGUGGACGGCCACAUUGGGACUGAGAUACGGCCCAGACUCCUACGGGAGGCAGCAGUGGGGAAUAUUGCACAAUGGGCGCAAGCCUGAUGCAGCGACGCCGCGUGGGGGAGGGCGGCCUUCGGGUUGUAAACUCCUUUCGCUAGGGACGAAGCUUUUUGUGACGGUACCUAGAUAAGAAGCACCGGCUAACUACGUG